This is a small nucleolar RNA of Carassius auratus (goldfish), 85 nucleotides long. Ensembl annotates it as small nucleolar RNA SNORD35. NCBI's taxonomy places the organism in Eukaryota, Metazoa, Chordata, Actinopteri, Cypriniformes, Cyprinidae. The record is from Ensembl.
UGCAAAUGAUGUUUUUUCUCACGAUGGUCUUCCAAGUCUUUCAGGCUCUGACGACACUGCCUUAUGGCAUUACUGAUGCAGCAGA